Molecule: long non-coding RNA, 418 nt
Organism: Bombus huntii
Lineage: Eukaryota; Metazoa; Arthropoda; Insecta; Hymenoptera; Apidae
Exons: 2
Source: RefSeq, a predicted model, not a curated record
CACAUGCAGGAUUCCAUCAUCUUUAUAGAUGUACACAGCCACGUGAGUUGUUAAUCUCCGAUCGAUCAAUUGUUAAUCGAGCGGAUGUGCGUGUACAUGAAUCGCGUCGCUGAUGAAUGCUGACUCUAACUAAGGAUGAAAGUGAAAUUUCAAGCAACUCAUGACAGAACGAUGACAGCAACAACCAUUGUGAUGUUUCGCUAUGACUAUCAAGGACGCUGAAGGGAUCAAAUGCAGGCAAAUGAGGUUGGUAACCCUUUCUCUGGGGGUUGUACCUGGGCGACCUUGUGGACCAGGUGAUCCAGGACGACCUGGACGGCCUCGACCAGGUGGACCAGGUGGACCUUGCAUCUGUGCUGCCAUCUCAGUCAUCUGUUCUGUACAUGUACGUACCAAUAAAAUGAACAGUUAUCUUCUA